UUGCACUGGGCAGAUAGGGAUACUCAUCAAAUAAACUGUUGAAAACGGGAUGACUUCACUUGCCAAUGGCGGGCCACUAACCAAGCAUUAUCCACAUGCCGGUGGAUUACAAAGGCGGAGAGCACCCAUAACCUGUGAUAAAGGAGUUUUCAUCACUUCGCCAGUGCAACCUUUU
RNAcentral lists this small RNA (175 nucleotides) under uncultured Prevotella sp. RNAcentral's name for it is "Bacteroidales-1 6S-Bacteroidales RNA suggested". It matches the Rfam family "Bacteroidales-1 6S-Bacteroidales RNA suggested". Lineage: Bacteria; Pseudomonadati; Bacteroidota; Bacteroidia; Bacteroidales; Prevotellaceae. The record is from RNAcentral.